RNA transcript from Amphiprion ocellaris (clown anemonefish), 3654 nucleotides. It is a transcript of the gene named EYA transcriptional coactivator and phosphatase 4, with no coding region annotated. The transcript is spliced from 20 exons. The record is from RefSeq and is a predicted model, not a curated record. Lineage: Eukaryota; Metazoa; Chordata; Actinopteri; Pomacentridae.
UAUCUACCCCUCUCUACCCGCCUCUUAUGCCCUUUUACCCCUCUACCCUCCUCCAUUACUUCUUUGGGCACUCGCCCAAUAGUGUGCGGCUGGCAGCUGUGCGCAUGCGCAGCGGCGGUCUUGUGAUGGCUGUUCGCUCCCGGAGCUAAGAGUUCCUCCAGAGCCAUGUUAGUACCGGAGACCGGACAGCAGCACCGGGACACCGGCCUGAGCCUGUGAGCCGAGCCGAGCCGAGCCGAGCCGCGCUAACGACUCCUGGACCGGUUCGUGGACGGUAACGAGCAGCGGCGGCGGCGGGAGGCUCGAUUCGGUGGACGGCGGCCUGCAAGCGGCGGAGAGGAGAGCGGAGAGCCGGGGAUGGUCCCGGUGGUCCGGUACGAACCGUGAAGGAAUCCAGAGAUCACCUGGAGGCUCAGGACAGUUGGUCGGAUAGCAGCAGCAGCUACAGCAGCAGCUACAGCAGCAGCUACAGCAGCAGCUACAGCAGCAGCUACAGCAGCAGCUACAGCAGCAGCUACAGCAGCAGCAGCAGCCAUGGAGGCCUCACAGGACCGCAGCCAGCAGAUGGUGAAGAAAUCUCUCAGUGAAUCUCAUGUUCCAGAAUCUGCAGACGCCAGGUCUAUGGACAUGCAGGACCUAACCAGUCCUCAUAACCGGGUUGGAGAGUCGACGGGCUCCAAACUGGAGAAGAACCUGGAGAGUCCGUCCAUCACCAGCAAUGGAACCGGAGGUGAGAGCAUGACCGUUCUAAACACGGCUGAUUGGCUGCUGGGCUGCAGCAGCCCGCCCCCCGGCGCCGCCUCCAAGGACUAUGUGAAAAUGGAGCCGAUGAACAGCAGCGAAUCCGUGACGACGACGGGCGACACGGCGCUGGACACGUACGCAGGUUCAGUCAUCACCACCAGUGGUUACAGUCCUCGAUCAGCCCACCAGUACUCUCCUCCUCUCUACCCCUCCAAACCUUACCCCCACAUCCUGUCCACACCGGCCGCCCCUCCGAUGCCGUCCUACGCCGGCCAGCCUCAGUUCAGCAGUAUGCAGCAGUCCAGCGUCUACACGGCGUAUUCUCAGAGCGGCCAGGCAUACGGACUGUCCUCCUAUGACCUGGGCGUGAUGCUUCCUGGUAUUAAAACAGAAGGAGGACUGACCCAGAGUCAGUCUCCUCUCCAGACUGGACUCAGCUACAGUCCUGGAUUCACCACACCUCAACCUGGACAGACGGCCUACUCACCCUAUCAGAUGCCAGGUUCCACUUUCACUCCAUCUUCAGGCCUCUACGCCUCCAACAACUCAGUGUCCAACCCUGCCAACUACACCGCCACACAGCAGGACUAUCCCUCCUACAGCACUUUCGGCCAAAACCAGUACGCCCAGUAUUACUCCGCCUCUACCUACGGAACCUACAUGACCUCCAACAGCGUGGAUGGAACCGGUUCCACAACCGCCUACCAGCUGCAGGACCCCAGCCCCGUCAUGACUGGACAGGCCGCCGAGCUCCACCCAGGAGACUUUGACACGGUCCAGAGUCCGUCCACGCCCAUCAAGGAGCUGGAGGACCGAGCCUGCCGGGGUGGAGGCUCCAAGUCCAGGGGCCGGGGCCGCAAGAACAACCCGUCCCCUCCGCCGGACAGCGACCUGGAGAGGGUGUUUGUGUGGGAUCUGGAUGAAACCAUUAUCGUCUUCCAUUCUCUGCUCACGGGUUCCUACGCUCAGAAGUAUGGAAAGGACCCUCCCAUGGCGGUGACGCUCGGCCUGAGGAUGGAGGAGAUGAUCUUCAACCUGGCCGACACUCAUUUAUUCUUCAACGACCUGGAGGAAUGUGAUCAGGUCCAUAUUGAUGACGUGUCAUCAGACGACAACGGCCAGGACUUAAGUACUUACAGUUUUGCGACUGAUGGCUUCCAUGAAGCUGCAACCAGCGCCAACCUCUGCCUGGCCACGGGGGUCCGAGGGGGGGUGGACUGGAUGAGGAAACUGGCCUUCCGCUACCGACGGGUCAAAGAGCUGUACAGCUCCUACAAGAACAACGUGGGCGGUCUGCUGGGUCCGGCUAAGAGGGACGCCUGGCUGCAGCUCAGAGCAGAAGUAGAAGCUCUGACCGACUCCUGGCUCACCCACGCUCUGAAGUCUCUGUCCAUCAUCAGCUCCAGGAGUAACUGUGUAAAUGUGUUGGUGACGACGACGCAGCUCAUCCCAGCUCUGGCUAAGGUUCUCCUGUACAGUCUGGGUUCCGUGUUUCCCGUCGAGAACAUCUACAGCGCAACAAAAAUAGGCAAAGAAAGCUGUUUUGAGCGUAUAGUCUCCCGCUUUGGCGCUAACAUUACAUAUGUUGUGGUGGGCGAUGGGAAGGAUGAAGAGCAUGCGGCCGGACAGGUAAACACUCACCUGCGACCUGUGACCUCUGACCAUGUGACCUCCUCCCUGUGUAUCUGUUCUCUGCAGGAAAAGAGAGUUGCUUUGAGCGCAUAAUGCAAAGGUUUGGCAGGAAAGUAGUGUAUGUAGUGGUGGGUGACGGUGUGGAAGAGGAGCAGGCGGCCAAAAAGCACAACAUGCCGUUCUGGAGGAUAUCCAGCCACUCGGACCUGCUGGCGCUGCACCAGGCCCUGGAGUUCGAGUACCUGUAACCGUGGGAACCGUGGUAACCGUGGUAACCGUGGCGACAGCAGGACUCGGGCGACGGAGUUUUUUUCUACGACUAUUUAAGAACAAACUGCAGCUUUCUGUCUGUUUUCUGUGUUUUUUUUCUGAAUGUCUGGAUUUGCAAACUCUGAACGGUCUUAAAGAGGACUACCAAGUCCUGGUCCUGAUGCUGGAGCCCUGACUCCUGAAAGACUCGGAGGAUUUGGCUGAACCCAGAGGACUCGGCUGAUGAACUCUGAGGACUCGGCUGGACUCUGAGGACUCUGUUGAUGAACCCGAAGGACUCGGCUGAACUCUGAGGACUUGGCUGGACUCUGAAGACUCAGCUAAUGGACUCGGAGGACUCUGUUGAUGAACCUGAAGUACUCCAAGGACUCGGCUAAACUCUGAGGACUCGGCUGAUGACUCGGAAGACUCAGCUGAAUUCUGAGGACUCGGCUGGACUCUGAGGUCUUGACUGAGCUCUGAGGACUCCCGGCUGAUGGACUUGGAGGACUCUGAGGAUUCAUCUGAUGAACUUGGAGGACUCGGAGAUCUCGGCUGAGCUCUGAGGACUCAUUUGUUGAAUUCAGAGGACUCAUCUGGACACUGAGGACUCGUCUGAUGAACUCUGAGGACGUGGAGUACUCGUCUGAACUGGUCCUGCUGGUCUGUCUCUGUACGGAAUUCCUCCUGUAUCUGGGCUGUUGUUUCUUCCUGCUGGACUCUGAGGACUUUGAUGAACUCAGGGGACUCGUCUGAUGAAUUCUGAGGACUCGUCUGGACUUGGAGGACUCGUCUGAAACUCCUCCUGUAUCUAGGCUGGUGUUUCUUCCUCUGAACUUUGUGUAAAUUAUUUCCUGACGGACGGUGGAGGAAGCUUUAGGAGGACGUUGUUGUUUUUUUGUUAAUUUGAGGUUUUUCUAUUUGGUUUACUCUGAGGAGCAGGUGGAGGGUGGAGAUGUGACGUGUUGUGCCUUAAUGUGUUUGAAUGUUUUUCUUUAAUCUGUCUGUAGAUAUAAAGGAGGAAUCAGA